This 34-nucleotide ribosomal RNA is filed under the name Erysiphe glycines. RNAcentral describes it as "partial 28S rRNA". RNAcentral also lists the same sequence under 5 other names. The record is from RNAcentral. Lineage: Eukaryota; Fungi; Ascomycota; Leotiomycetes; Helotiales; Erysiphaceae.
UUGACCUCGAAUCAGGUAGGAAUACCCGCUGAAC